RNAcentral lists this long non-coding RNA (19653 nucleotides) under Ananas comosus (pineapple). Its description in RNAcentral is "long non-coding RNA (ACOM_LNC024334)". The record is from RNAcentral. Lineage: Eukaryota; Viridiplantae; Streptophyta; Magnoliopsida; Poales; Bromeliaceae.
UUUAGUAGUUUAAUAAAUAAAUAGUUCAGUUAGAUGAUCACUAUGAAUGUUUGAAUGUUUGUGAACUGGUUUUAAUUGAUGAUUUACUGAUGCAUGAGAUUAGAGAUUUGUGGAUCCGUGGAUUUGGUUUUAUAGAUAUAUAGUUCUUGUAUUUAUGGAUUUAUGCAUCGUGGUUUUCUACCCCUCGACGUAGUCGGUUUUCAAAAUAGAGUUUUCGAGUGGAAAACAAUUUUAAAAGGUUUUCGAAUGGUUUGUGAAUGAUUGAAUUAGAGUUUAAAAAUAAAGCUUCCGAAAAUUCCAGGUGGGGAGCACUCUUAGAUAUGAUGCUUGUUGUAUUGUGCAUUGCAUCAUCCAGUACCUAAGGAGUGUUCCUAAGGAGUGUUUAGAGACAUGCACCAUUUCUAAGGAUCGCUAGCUGUAUGCAAAUGUAUCGCAUAAAUUGGUUGUUGAUUGGUAAAUGUAAGUUGUGGUUGAGAUCCUGAUGUAUCGUUGGUAUGCCGUGCAAAUACAAAGUAGACUCUGUCCGAGUGGACAGAGAAACUUUGUAUUUAUGGCGGGUCUGUACGUCACGUGGGCCAGGUUAAAAAAUAAAAAAAAAAAUGGCACGUUUUCUGUAACUCUGAUUUCAAAAUUGGUAUCGAUUUAAAAAGACUUUUAUAAUAGGCCCCGGGGCGUUACACGCUCCCUCUUCGUCGCCGCGUGGGUGGAGCGCCAUGUCUUCGGAUUCUAGAGAAUCGUCCAUGGGUACGUUCUUUUACUCUGAACUCUAUUCGUUUGAUCUCUUUGUUGCUCUAAUUUGGUCACUUUACUGGUUCUAACUUCGUAAUUGGAGGAAUUUGAGUGUUUUUUUUUUCUUUCAAAUCUUUAAUUUAACAAUAUGUUAGGGGUUUUGGUUUCCAAGAAAAUUUUCAAUUUUCUUGUUUAUUUAUUUUCUUAUUAGGACUUAGGGUUUAGGGUUUAGAAAUCAUGAAGAUUGCAAUCCUUUUGGUUGUAGAGUUAACUUAUCUCUACACAAAUAUAUAGAUAUAGUUCGAUUCUACAAAUAUAGAAACUAUGGGAUUUCUUAGAAAUUAGUAAUGGUUUAGUAAAUCUUACUGAUCGGAUAAAAACUGCACCACUAAAAUUUAAAGAAUAAUAAAUUGCAAUACGAAUGAUUACAUACAAAUCAUAAGCUAUACAUUUAACGAGCCUCAAUCUAUCUGCAGAGAUCUCUAGGAUUUUAUUCAAAGUAGUCCCCAUUAUCGUGCAUAUCCAAAUUAAAUAGAAUAUAUUAGCUUGUAUAUGACAUAGACAACAUCUCUAUUUAACAGUGUUUAGAAUCUACUGCUAGUCUUGAAUAUGCAAUCUGCUUUGAUAUCAACUGCAGUGAAUACGGUACUGGCGUGGGGAUUUCGCAACGAAGGCGUGAAAUUGAAUUUUUACUAUAAAAGUGCUCUUCUUAAAUUUGCAAUCCGCUCUAACACCUACUACUCUAAAUCCGAUACCAGUAUUAAAAUUUCGCAAUAAAAAUGUCAAAUCGAAUUUUUAACAUAAACUCAUAAAUAGCUGAUACAAUUACAAAAGAGAGAAAAUCAAAAAAAUAUAUAGAUAAAACAAGAUCCACUAAAUUAGAAAAGAAUUAAACCCGAAUCUCUCACACACUUCUAGAUCUUAUUUUCUAUAAACGCUCUCUCUCCAACUCGGUACUGACGUCCAAGGCUUUCUUGUUUCAGAACUCGAGCUACUCCUUAGUGUCAUAUAUAUAAUGCGUAAAUAAUGAUAUAUCUAAAUCUAAUAUAAUUAGGAAUAUUACUCUAGCUAAUAUUUAAAUUUAAAUUAAUUUAUCUUUAAUGAAUUAAAAUGUUUCUUCUAAUUCAAUUAGGAGUAAACCACAAAUUUAACUAAAUUAAAAUAUUUAUCCUAAUUCAACUAGAAAUACACUAGAGACCUAACCAAUUCCUAACAGACAGUUUAAAUUUUUUGGGUUAGGUUUGGGCCUUUUAGCAUCCUCGACUGCAUGCUCCCUCUGGCUUCUCCGGAGAUGAAGCCUAACUUGAUAAGAUUGAGGGGUUAAUUUGACCGAACUAAUAGAGAUGACGGUUAUAAAACUAAUUUAUAAGACCUACAAAAUUUUCUCUUCAAUUUUAAAUAAAUUGUUUUACUUCGUGAAUUAUGUCGUCUAUAUAAUUUUUUUAUUAUAGGUAAGUUCCAAAUUAGCGAAAAAACUCAGCAAUUUUAACUAUUUGUUCACAAUUAGUUUGUUGCAACGGAUCUAAUCCUACGGGCGAUAACUAUCGAUUGUAUCAGCAGUCUAGAUCAGUGCAAUUUAUUAGCGCGUCAUGUCAUUCACCUUAAACAAACUCAGCAGGUGAACCAACCAGCCAAAGAAGCAGCAGCAGCAGCAGAAGAGGCGGUGAAACAGGAAUCAGCUGCACCUUCUAAUUAAUUCUCAACCAAAAAAAGAAAAAAAGGUUAUAAAAAAAAAAAAAAAAAAAAAAACUAUGUGAGUAUAAAAAAUUUCAAUGAAACUCUGUUUGGUUUGGUUCUGCAUUUGCAAGCCGUGCUUUGGAGCGAAGUAAAUUGUUUGAUGCAGCACAUAACUACACUGGAGGUUAACAGAACCCGCGCCGAUCUGCAAUCAUCUCUGCCUGCGACCACUUCCACCGGCUCAACCGUAGCCCGACAGAACGGGCACGUCGAGUGCGAGCUAGUCGUGUCUUGCUGCUGGGCCAUCCAUGAAUUGGUCGACAUGGUAAUUAACCGGAGUAGUUACGGAUUGUAUAAAAGGAUUUGCAGCUUGGAUUAGUUAAGCUUACACUUCUAUUUAUGUCCGGUGAAUAAAUCUCUGUUAUUAAUUCGUGCAUCUUAGCCCGUGGUUUGAGUUGGAUUAACGGGAAAUUAAUUAUCAGCAACAAAUUAAAGCGGUUUCAGGUUUCGAAAACAAAUGGAACUGAGUUUAUAUGCCAAAUAAAAUUUUAAAAAAAUUAUUUGGCAAAUUAAAAAAUUUUUAUAGAAAUUAUUUUUUUAAAAAAAGUCCUCUAAAAGCAUCUCCUCUAUUUCAAGAAAAAUCCUGAACUAGAAUUUAAUAAUAAUUUAUAAAUUUUUUACUCAGAUAAUCCAUAAAUUUUUAUGAAAAUUGUGGAAAGAUAUGAAGAGCUAUCUUAGUAACAUAAAGCAAUGGAGUAUUGCUCAGGCAUAACUAUUGCCUUAACUACAAUUAACCUCACUAACUAAUGAAACUAGAGAGAAACGAUUCGGUAUUUUAUUUUAUAAAAAAAUAAAAAGAUCUUAACUGUAGUGUUUCGAACAAUUUAACUGUCGGAAUGAUCGCAAUUUCGGCAAUAGGAUGACACACCCGUAGAUUAUCGGGGUGAGUUGGAGUUGUUGGGAUGCAAAAUUGGUGCCACGAAUUAUUCCGAAAUCUGAAUUAAUUGCAGCUAGAACAAGUUAUUGAUGUGGGAGCCAAGGGAUCAACUUAUCUUUUCACCUACCACUAAUGGAAGUUUUAGAUUUUAGUGGUUAACUCUCAACUGAACAUUGGACUUCACUUCUCCUUGCUCUCUCCUGCGCAUUGCUGCAGGCAGGAGCCUCACCUGUUGCCAGCAACUAACAAUAGCCAGCAGCAGCCACCUCCAUACAGGCUGCUGGUGGGACUCCAAUUCGAAAAUUGGAGUUGGUUUUGGAUAAAAGGAGGUAGCGGAGCUCAGUAUAAACCAUUUCUUCCAGCUAAUAUUGAGGUUAGUAUGAUGGAAUUUAUAAUAUUUUGGUGAAGUAAUUGCUGAAAUGGUGAAUAAUGUUGGAUUUCACAAUUCUUAGAUUUGAUGGAAUUUACCUUGCUUAAUCCAGUUAGAGCUUUUGCUGGGUUUUGGGUGAUCUUAACUUCAUCUUUUGCUGGUAAGAAUCUUAUUUGGGCUGAAUCGAAGGUUAGUUCAGAGAGAAUUUCAGUUUUUACUUGAGUUCCAAUCACUUUGACCUCAUGCUGAAAUUCUGAUUUUUAAUCUAAUGUCCACCUCUUUUAAUUGGCUGAGAAGUAUUGGUGUGAUUUGGAUGUUUUCAUUGUAGAUGAGUGUUGAGCCAAUUAGGCGCGGAUGAGAUUUAGGUGCGAAUAUUCUUUAAAAGCGUCAAUUCAGUCGUGUAUCAGGAGCACCAGAAAAGGGUAUCGCGCCAAUUGAAGAAAGUUACGGUAACCGCAAGCGGUUACAUGCGAUUCCGAUCGGCUAGAAGUGGUCAGGAAUAUGAGGAAAUAGUGGCCGAUCGUGUAAAGAGCAAUAACUGACCGAAGGGGCUAUCUAUAAAUAGGGUAAUAAUACCCCAAAAAGAGGUCUUCGCCCCUGCGCACAAAAGACCACUUUUAUUUUCCUGCAUUUUUCUUUCUUGCAUUUACUGUUUUUCCUAGGAGUAGUUCUUGUAACUUAGAUAUUUGGAGUCUGUCUGCCCCAUGGGCAUCACUCCCUUAUAGAAUAUACUUGGAGUCUGUCUGCCCCAUGGGCAUCACUCCCUUGUAGAAUAUAUUUGGAGUCUGUCUGCCCCACGGGCAUCACUCCCCUGUUCUUGUACUCUUCCAUUCCCUAUUCAAUAGAAAGUCACGUUCGGCUAUUCGGGCCGACCAGAUUUUGUGUUGUGCUAGCCAUUCGGCUCAUCUCCCGGCUUAAUUUUCGACUUUCCACGCACAUUCGACUCAUCCAGCCGAACCGGAGAGUGAAAAGAGCUUUCGAACCCGGCUGACCCGAUCCCUCGUCAGCCGAAUCGCUUGAUCUGUCGAAGGGCGCAAACUUCGAGGGUCACUAUUCGCAGCAGUUUAGCAUCCCGACACGCUCCCAGAGGAGGAUCGUUGACUAGGUCAAGGGUCGGGGAAUUUCGACACCAACAAUUUUUUGGCACGCCCGGUGGGACACUAACAUAAGGUAAAUUUGCAUUAUAUAUAAAGUAUGGCUAAUGAUAACGCCACUAAUCUUCGUAAUAGGGCUAUCCCUAGAAAUUCUGGGAGUGAACAGCCCAGUAAUUCAGAGAAUGUUGUAGAGCGCCAAGCAGUCUUACCCGCUGAAGGUGAGACCAGUGGUCAUUCUGGCCAACAAGAGCCUAGCCUGGCUCAAGCGCUUGGGCAGAUGACUCGGGUCCUUCAAGUUUUGGACCAAAACAGUCAUGCGAGUUCUGCACGGCUGGAUGCCGUCUUGGCCGCAAUUACGGCCUCUAACGAGAACAUCGCCCGAAUAGGGCAGUUGUUAACUCGGAACGAACAGCCGAUAACAGGCUUGCAAGCGCCUGUGAUAACACCAGUGUUACAAAAUCCUGUGACACCGGUAAAUGGUCAGCCCCAGCACUAGGGGGCACCAUAUCAAGUGGCUUAUAAACCGGCUGUCGUUAAUGCCGGUCAACAGCCAAAAGUGGCUUGGGGGUUACCUCCACCUCCUCCAGUAGCAGUGUACCAGCCUCAAAAUGCAGGGGCUAGGGGGCAAGCUCCAAAUGUACAAGGGGUUAAUCCCAUAGUACAAAACAUCGGAGUUCCACUCCCACCGAACCCAGCACCAGCGCAAGCUCCUUUACAGGGGAUUAAUAACGAGAUUUAUGUGCAAAUAGAAGAAGCCAUCCUGAAUACUUUCGAAGUAGGCGCAAGGCCGGCAAUGCGGCCCGUAUUCAGGUCACCAUAUCUUGCAAAUAUAGAUAUAGAACACCCAUAUCCGGCAAAUUGGAAGAUGCCGAAAUUUGACAAGUUUUCCGGCGACGAGACCGAGAAUACGGUCGAGCACGUCGCGCGGUUUAUUGCUCAGUGCCGUGAGGCCGCGGCAAAUCCUUUUUUAAAGUUAAGAUUAUUUAAUACCUCAUUAACUAAGACGACUUUUACUUGGUACACGAGCUUACCUGCUAAUUCUGCCCGAGAUUGGGACGGGUUAGAAGGUAAAUUUCAUGAACAGUUUUAUAGAACAGAGCCAGAACUAUCAGUUGCGGAUUUGGCUCAAUUCAAACAAAAAACAGGAGAAUCAGUUGAUGAAUAUUUGAACCGAUUCAAAACUGCUCGAAGCCGUUGUUUCGCAAGAAUGCCGGAAUCGAAAUUUGCCAAAAUGGCAUUCAACGGCAUGCAUUUUAAAAUUAAAGAUCAUUUUGAGGAUAAAUUCUUUCCAAAUCUUUUUGAUUUGGGAGUUCGGGUUGCUCAAUAUGAGCAAUUUCGGAAAGGUAACAAUGAAGAUCAGCCCAGAUGGAGCCGAAACAAAGAUUGGAACAAAAGAAAGGAGAAAAAUAUCUCUUUCUUUGAAGAGUUUUCGGCUCAUGAAGAGCCGAAUUCGUCUGAAGAAAAUGAGGAUUCGGCUGAUGAAGCCGGAAUUUGUGCUGCCGAGAUGGUGAGAAAUAAUCAACCAUACAAAUGUGCUUUGUUAAGACCUGCCAAGUCAAGAGAGGCGAAAGCACAUGUGUCUGCAUUUAGUUAUUCGUUUGAUAUAGCAAAGACCGAUUUGAUUUUUUAUCGGUUGCUAAGGGAUGGACGAAUUAAACUACAGGAGGGCCAAACUAUACCUCCUGUAGAAGAACUAAAACGCAGAAGAUAUUACAAGUGGCACCAUUCAUGGAGCCAUAAAACUAGUGAAUGUACUGCCUUCAAGAAACAAAUUCAAAAAGAGAUAAAUGAGGGUCGGCUUAUCUUUGCCGACCAAGAAAAUAAAGAUAUGAAAAUUGAUAAGAAUCCUUUUCCAUCACAGGUCAACGCCGUGAAUAUGAAAGGAAAAGGAAAAGCGACUGCGAAAAGGCAGAUCCAAGAAGAAAUAGACAAGGGUCGGCUCAUAUUAGCCGACCAAGAAAAUGAAAAUAAAGUAAUUAACAGAAGUUCGUUUCCGUUUCAGGUUAAUAUGGUGAAUGUUAAAGAAAAAGAGACUGCAGACAAGGAGACCGCAGACAACGUGGCAUAUGCCAAAAAGCAUCUUCGGCUUUGCAUAAGGUGCAAGGCCGAAAUGACAAAAAAAGAUUGGGAAGCCAUUGUGAAUGCCAAGAAAAGAGGCAACGAGUGGAAUGAGUUGAUGGCGUUCCCUGAGGAAUGGGAUUACAUUCCUGAUGGUGAAGACCAAGAAGAAGAAGGCUCGGACGAGGCCUCCAAUGACACUAAACCGGAAGUCAAAUCGGUUCAACGCAAACAAGACAUGUUGAUGCAGAAGAUUCUGCAUGAUUAUUACAACAACAGGCGUAACGAGCGUCAAAGCCAAUGGGACUACCAGGAUAGACCUUUCGGCACCAAGCCAAGGAUUCCUGGAUAUCAGCCACAUUGGCAGCAUCAAACGAGGCCGAGACCAGAACCGGAAUUCAAGGGAAUAACCGAGGGAGACAUAGAAUUCCUUGGUCGGAGAUUAGUCAACGAGCUCAGCAUUUAGCCUUGGCCGAGACCUUGGGAGAGAAGAGAAAUUUUGAAAAAUCAUUUAAGGACAGUAAAGGUACCGGCGAACGUGCCAAUGGAUGAAUGGCACGAAGUUGAGGUUAAACCAUCGGCUAGGAGGCAGGGGCCGAUGUUAACGAAAACUCAAAAGUGUCGGCAGCAGAGGAUGCAAGCCGAGGCAAGACAACACUACGAAGAAGCGAAAGGGAUAAGGCUCAAUGUAUGGAGGCGCCCUGAUGAACAGUCACACCCUUUUCGCCCAAUGAGAAAUGACCACGAGGCAGGCGGCUCAUCGCCUGCCCCUCGAAUGAAGUCAAGAAUAGAACGGCCAACCGAGGCCGAGUCAGAAGAAAAAAUGAGGAGGAGGGAGUUAGAAGACAAAAUAGCUUCUCUCGAAAUGAUGAUCAAGAGAGAAAGAUGGCCCCCUAAGGAAAGGGAAGUCCGGAUGGAGAGCGAUUCUUCAGCCGAGACGGCCAAGGAGUCGGAAGAAAAGAAACAGAGAAUUAAAGGAAAGUCAGCCGAAGAAUCACCGGCUGAGGUGAAUAUGGUGUAUGCUCUGCCUCAAUCUUUUAAGGCAGAGCUUAUCGAGUAUGAAGAGUUCAAAGAAGAGGAGGAAGAUGGGCUUAAAGUAGCCCAGUUGCAAUUGGAAGAUGUUCAACCAGCCGAUGUAGUGGUUUUUGAGAAACCAUCGGCUAUGCAGACGAGAUUCAUAAGGCCUCUCUUUAUAAAGGCCUUAAUUGAAGGUCGGCCAGUAGGCCGAGUUAUGGUAGAUGGUGGAGCUAUGGUCAAUGUCAUGCCCACUGCAUUCUUCAAGAAGUUGGGCAAAGAUGAAGAUGAGUUGAAACCCACGGACACGAUCAUGACCGACUUUAUUAGGAACGGUCAGCAAGCUCGAGGGGUGCUUACGACCGAGAUCACGGUAGGUUCUAAAACUUUACGAACGGCAUUCUUUGUGGUUGAUGCAGAUAGUCAAUAUAACCUACUACUCGGGCGUGAUUGGAUUCAUGCAAAUGAGUGCGUGCCUUCUACACUCCACAGGAAACUUUUUCAAUGGAUCGGAGAUAAAGUUGAAGAAAUCCGGGCCGAAGGACGGCCCCAAAUAGUGGACAUCAACACGGAAGAAAUCAGCCAUAUCAAUUGGACCGACACGGAUCCUGAUCAAAUUUUCUUCGUAAGAGUUACAGAAGAAGGAGUCCAGUUGAUCUUUACUGGAGAAGAAGGGGCUUUGGUGGCAGCCGAUGAGCCACCAAAAUGGUUAAAAUGGAGUCCGAAAAAUCAAGAAUAGAGGCUUGUCAAGAGCCUUGACAGGAUAAGCCGAUCAACAAGAUCGGCUAUAAAGAAGAUUCGGCUGCCACAGCCGAUGUGUUAACACUUGAUGACUUGGCUAGUAAAGUCGAAAAAGCCAUAAUAGAUUCGGUUUACAGGACCGAAAAAGAAAAACAAAUGAAGUCGGUCACCAAGAUCGACAAGUCAUGCGAAAUGAAUAGGCAAGCAAAAGAAUUAGAUCUAGAAGAAUCGCCUAUCAAAGUCGGUGAGAAAAAGUUGGAGACCCAAGACCCGCUGAUCGAAGUAAAUUUGGGAUUUGACGAAGAUAAGAGACCGACGUAUAUAAGCGCAAAGCUUUCGGCUCGACAGCAGAAUGAGCUGAAAGAACUAUUGAAAGAGUACAAGGACUGCUUUGCCUGGAGCUAUGAAGAAAUGUCUAGGUUAAGUCGAGAAAUUGUAGAGCAUAGGCUACCCAUUAAAAAAGGGUUUAAGCCUUUUAAACAACCGGCUCGUAGGUUCGAGCCGAGUAUUGUACUUCAGAUUAAAAAUGAAAUUGAAAAUCUUUUAAAGGCCGGAUUUAUUAGAGCGGCCCGUUAUGUUGAUUGGGUAUCUAACAUAGUUCCAGUACGAACAAAGAAUGGUAAACUUAAAGUUUGCAUUGAUUUCAGAAACUUAAAUUUAGCCACACCAAAAGAUGAGUACCCCAUGCCAAUAGCCGAUAUGUUAGUAGAUUCGGCGUCCGGUAACAAGGUCCUAUCCUUUAUGGACGGACAUGCUAGUUAUAAUCAAAUUUAUAUUGCUAAGGAAGACGUGGCUAAAACGGCUUUUAGGUGCCCUGGUUCGAUUGGAACCUUUGAAUGGGUUGUUAUGCCGUUCGGCUUAAAGAAUGCCGGAGCUACUUACCAAAGAGCAAUGAAUUUUAUUUUUCAUGAUUUAAUAGGCAAAAUUUUGGAAAUAUACAUUGACGAUAUAGUCGUAAAAUCCAAGUCGCAAGCCGAACAUUGGAUUGAUUUAAAGCUCGCCUUUGAAAGAAUGAGGAAAUAUAAUUUGAAAAUGAACCCUUUAAAAUGUAUUUUUGGAGUUUCAGUAGGAAACUUUUUAGGAUUUUUAGUGCAUAAAAAAGGGAUCGAAAUUGAUAAAAACAACGCGAAAGCAAUAUUAGAACUAUUGCCGCCAAAAAGCAAAAAAGAAUUACAAAGUUUGUUGGGGAAGAUUAAUUAUCUUCGGCGGUUCAUAUCCAACUUGGCCGAAAAAAUUAGGAUUUUUACUCCAUUACUUCGGCUUAAAGACAAAGAAGAAUUCGUUUGGACGAAGGAACAGCAAGAGGCGUUUGAAAAUAUAAAAAGAUAUUUAUCGAAUCCUCCGGUACUGGUGCCUCCAAAGCCAAAUCAGCCGAUGAAGUUGUAAAUAUCGGCUGCAGAGGAGAAUUUGGGAUGUUUGCUAGCCUAGAAAAAUGAAGAAAAAGAAGAACAAGCCAUGUAUUAUCUAAGCCGACGUUUUUUAGAUAUUGAGAAACGGUAUUCGGCUAUUGAAAAAUUAUGUUUGACUUUGUAUUAUUCAUGCAUAAAGCUAAGAUACUAUAUUUUACCGACUGAGAUGUCGGUAAUAUGCAAAACCGACCUGGUAAAGUAUAUGUUGGCCAAACCUGUAUUAAGAGGUCGACUUGGAAAAUAGAUGUUGGCUUUGUCUGAAUUCUCCCUUAAUUAUAUUCCAGCUAAAGCUGUUAGAGGACAAGCGAUAGCUGACUUCUUGGCUGAUCAUCCAUGUGUAGAAUUAGAAGAACCGAAACAAAAUUUAGUCGGUUGUCAGUCUUGCACACUUUAUUUUGACGGCUCAAGAACAGCCGAAUCAGCAGGAGCUAGAAUAGUUAUCCAAUCUCCUGAAGGGUAUUCAUGCCAAUUUGCUUUCAAGCUGGAUUUCGGCUACUCUAACAAUUAAGCCGAAUAUGAGGCCUUAAUAAUUGGCCUAGAAAUUUUACAAGAAUUGAAAGCAAAAUCAAUCAAAGUCAUCGGUGACUCACAGUUAGUAAUCAAACAAGUGAAUGAAGAAUAACGAUGUGAAAAUCUGAAUUUACAAAACUAUUUAAGGAAGACAUUAGAGUUACUAUGUGAAUUCAGAGAGACUGAAUUCAAACAUUUGAGUAGACAGAAAAAUGAAAAGGCUAAUGAACUAGCUCAGUCGGCUUCAGGAUAUAGAGAGCCGAAGUCAGAAUCAAUAGUAAUACAGAGGAGGUUGCUACCUUCGGUUCACAUACGAGAACCGAUUAUAGCUCCCAUAGAAGUAAAAGAAGAUUGGAGAGAAUUAUUAAUCAAAUAUCUAGAGGAUCCUAAUACAAGGGUCGACUAUAAUAUUCGAAGAAGAGCUCUCGGCUAUUGUUUAUUAGAUGGUCAACUUUACAAGAGAACAGCCGAAGAGAUUCUAUUAAAAUGCUUAGGACCUGAAGAAGCUCCGUUGAUAAUGGGAGAAACACAUAAAGGAAUAUGUGGAACCCAUUUAGCCGAAAAAAAGUUAAGAUGGACAAUUCGGCACUUAGGAUAUUAUUGGCCAACAAUGCAUCAAGAUUGUGUAGAAUAUGCCAAAGGUUAUCAGGAUUGCCAAUUUCAUGGCUUAAUCCAGAGAGUUCCGGCCUUUGAGAUGUAUGCAAUCAUUAAACCAUGGCCUUUUCGAGGAUGGGCCAUGGAUUUAAUUAGAAAAAUUCAGCCGAACUCCUCGGCUGGUCACAAAUUUUUAAUAGUGGCUGUAGAUUAUUUCACUAAAUGGGUGGAAGCAAAACCCACUCGGUUGGUUACCCAAAAAGAAAUUAUUGAUUUUAUUGAAGACCAUAUAAUUCAUCGCUUUGGGAUUCCCGAGACAAUUACAACCGAUCAAGGGACAAUGUUCACAGGUGGACAGUUCGUUCGGUUCAUCGAGUCUCGAAAAAUAAAAUUGCUCCAUUCAUCUCCUUAUUUUGCCCAAGCGAAUGGACAAAUAGAAGCAGCGAAUAAAAUAAUCAUCAACUUGAUGAAACGACACAUCGGAAAGGAUCCGAGAAAAUGGAAUGAAAAAACUUUUCGAAGUAUUAUAGGCAUGCCGAACUUCAGUGAAAACGGCAACAGGGAUGACACCAUUCCAAUUAGUUUACGGACAUGAGGCCGUAAUUCCAGCCGAGAUAACAGUUCCUUCUUUGAGGAUAAAAAAGCAAAAAGAUUUGUCGGCUGAUGAAUACAGUAAUCUAAUGAAGGACAAAGCAAAGGAAGUAUGUGAUACUCGGUUAAUAGCUUUAGAUAAUAUGCAAGCAUACCAAAGCCGAGUGCGUAGCGCAUACAAUAAGAGAGUUCGAUCAAAGACAUUUGUCGUCGGUGAUUUAGUACUUCUGCUGGUUUUUCAAUCAGUCAAAAAGACCGAACGUAUGGAAAAUGGUCUCCAAAUUGGGACGGGCCAUUUCAAGUCAGACGAAUCACAAGAGGAAAUGCAUAUUAUUUGCAGAACAGAGAUGGGUCAGAAAAUGAAAAACCAAUUAAUGAAAAAUAUUUAAAGAGAUAUUACCUAUCUAUGUGGGGGGAGAAAAACCAAGAUUAAAGUUAGAACAUUACAAGCCGAAUCAAAUUAACAAAUCUUUGAGUUGGUUCCAUUCGGCUAUAAGGUUGGCUUGGGCAGCUUCGGCAGCUUUUCGUCGGCGCUUCAUCAAGGGAUGCACCUUGUAGAGCUGAGAAAGCUCUUCCUGAAUUUUCAUUCCUUCUGCUCUUUUAGCCUUUAAUUGACUCUGCAAUUGAAGCUGGCGCUCAGAGGUUUGGGCUAAAGUUGAUUCGGCUGCUGCUAACUCGUCUUUAAGGGUUGAAAUCCGCUGUUGUAAAGCCGAUUUUUGAUUGGCCAAAGUCUGAUCCUUAUGAUUUACCUCAAUAAUAGGGUCAGCUAUUUCAGGGAUAUUCCUCUUAAAGUGAUCAAUGUGAUGAAAAUGUUGAUCUAAAGAUAAAAGAUCGGCACCCAAAGAUUGUUGCCGAGCCAAAAUAGAAGAAAGUUGAGACGCCAGAGUCUCUACAAAAUAUUUAAUACUAGAAGUAAUAUCUGUUUGAUCGGCCAAAUCGAUUAAGAGAGCGUACAGCCGAUCAAGUAGCUCCAGAUUUUGAGCUAAACAGGGGGGACCAUUGCUAUAUAUUUUAAGACAUUCAUCAAAUUUACGUUGAGUGUCCGAUGAGACAAUAAUAGUCGAAGAAUCAUUCCCCUCAUUGGAACUGGGACUUGAAACCAGUAAAGAAUGAAGAGUAGCAGUUAGAGAAUCCUCAGGAGCAGAAGGGGAAGUCCCAUGAGUUGGAGGAGGAGGUAUGGUGCUUGUUUCUCCAGAGCCUUGCGCUUCUCCAGAACCUUGGUCGACAGGUACACUUGCUUUGUCAUCCCUUGUAAUUGGGUUUGGGGCAGAAAUAGGUGAUAUAGUUUCACCUGGUGAUGGCAUCGUGCUCGCCUCUGCAACGUCUGCCUUAUUUUUUUCCAUACCUCGUUUCUUUUCAAGACAAGCUUCCCGGCGAAGCUAUCUAUCCAUUUGCGCCUUCAAAGAAGAAGCAAAACGAGCUCUUGAAUUAUUUUUGGGAGAAGACUGUUUUAUUAAAAGAAUGAUAAACGAGUUGAUCAAAUAAUACGAGUUAAAGUGACUAAUCAAAUAUACAUACCUCAAUCUCAAUGGGCUCAUUGGGAACUGAGUCUUGUUUGGAAGCAUCAACCGAAGGCGUUUCUUCGGAAAUAGGAGCCGAAGGCAUUUCUUCAGCUUUUUUCUUUGAUACAUCGGCCGACGCAAUACCUUCGGCAUGUGUAGAAUAGGACCUUUUAGCAAUUGACUUACGCCGCUUUGGAGGCGGCAGAGGAGUAGAUUGAACGGUCUCAAUCAGUCUUUUUUUUGAAGCUAAGACCGAUGAAGAAACAGGAAUUGACUGCAGGAAAAAAAAAUAAGUAUUGAAAAGAAAGUUAAAAUAAAGGUGAGUACAUUACAGAAGAAGAAGGCCUGACCUCAGAAGCUUCUUCUUCUCUUGAUAAUGAGACAGGAGGAUCAACUGAAACAAGUGGAUGAAUAGUUCUGCGGAAUGCCCGAAGAAGAGAAAGGUCGAGAGUACGAUCAGUAAAAUGAUCCCAAAUAGUAGCAUAGCCGGCAAGAGCAACUCCUGUUUAGUUCGGCCUGAAGCUCACUAAUUUAAAGAAGCGACGAAGGCGAUUUCCCAUAGCUGAAAUCUUAUCAGCUUCGGCUAUACUUUUAGUAGGGGGUCGAUGAUCGGCUGUAUUAGUUGUAAAAAAUUUGGAUGGAGCGGGAAUCGGCUGAACAAAUCCAAACUGACGGGCCACAUACUGAGGGGAAUAAACCUCAGUGCUUGGUAAUUAUUUUGAGUGCGAUUUUAACCCCGCAUGAAGAUCUCUUGGAGCGAAAUAAGAGUACCAGACCUCUGAGUAUUCACUGGCGCGAGAAGAGGCCAAUUCACCUUGUAUAGCUUCAAACCGGGCAAGGAACCAGGAAGGACCGGUAAGACGGUCAGCAAAGGAAGCCCAAGAAAUAGCCGAUUCAGGACUCGGCUCAUAAAAAGUUUUAAAAUAAGUAAGAAAGUCAGAGGGUUGACCCAGAGUCAUCGCUGUGGACAGCCGAGAGCUAACACAUAAGAAUCAAAUUGAGCAACCGAAGUCGGAUUAAAAGGAGAUUGGCACAAAGCGGGAAUAUAAAAUUGUAAAAAUAUUUGAAGAAAUCAGAAAACACCGCAGCCAGAACUGAUGGGAAUACCAUCUCCAGAAGCCAGUAUUUUAAUAGAAUCAAAAAUUUCUCUAUAAACAAAGGCAAGAAAGUAAGGCCCUAGAGCUAAUCUAUCGCCGUUGGACAAACCAACGGCGAUUGGAACAAAGUCACGAUUAAUUUUCUGUGAACGAGUACAGAAGAAAUUAUGGCAUAACCAAUAAAGGAGGAAUGUCGUAUGUUCGUUCUUAGUAACGGGAGCAGGGGAUUCACUCGCGAAUUUGCGGAUGAACCUGGAGUAAGCCAAGUCAUUGAGGUCUAAACGGUCCUCAAAAUCAGAUACGCCGUCAGGAUUAUAAGACAUAGAAACAGUAACGCCAUGAGGGCGCAAGCUAGUAAUAGCGGCCACGUCAAAAAGAGUGGGGGUAAGAGGUUCUCUUUUGAAAAGAAAAAUAUUAGAAGCAGGGGACCAAAAACAUAGAGCGGCGGCUAGAAGAAGAUUAUCGGCAAUAGGAGGAUGCCGAGACAAUUGAAUAGCUUCAUAUAAUCCAAUCUCUCACCAAAAGUCACCAAAGGCGGCUUCUACUCGAGCUAACUAGGUUAAAUAUGCCUCUGAAGUACUUGGCCAGGUUCGAAGACUCUUCCCUGUUGAAGCAGAAGAGUAUCAAGACUGAAGAUGAAUAGCUUUUCUCAAGGGAAGGCCAUCGCUAGAAAAUCGAUAGGGGCUAGCACUUCUGUAAGAGAAGAACCCAAAAUAAAUCUAGAGGGGUCUGAGUCGACGAAGGGUUUAUGCAUAGUAUAAUCCAGGGAUGGAUGAGAAGGAAGAGGCGGAACCAACGCCAUUAGUUGAAAAAGGAAAAGAGAAAAAGUCAAGUGAAAAAUAAAAUCGGAGAAGAUGAAAGAAAGGGAAGCGAAAGAAAAGUUUCCUAGAAGACGAAGAAGAAAUAGAUGAGACAAAAAGAAUAAAAAGCUUGGAGAAGAAGAAAGGCCGUCGUAUCGAACCGUCGCGUCGAAGCGAGUUUCGAGGUCGGCUUUAAUAAUGAAUAGACGGCGGUAAUUAAGAUGACCUAGUUAAUGCCGCAGAUGAGACAAAAUGAAAAUUGAGAUCGGGCCGUAAGAAAGAAAAUAAACGGCUAAUAUUGAACCGUACAGAGGGNCUUAGGAUUGUCAUAAGUGAGAGCCCCUGGCCAGGGUCUUUCCUCUCUGGCCAGGUGGUCACUCGUUAUAACGCCGUCGGAACUCCGUUGGCCAGGUACCGUCUGCUCUAGCCAGGGGUUCGCGCAUAAUCGUCACUCUCUGGCCAGGGCGCGUCCCUCUAUGGCCAAGGGCUUGCAACCAAAUAGCCCAAGCGUCGCUCUCUGGCCAGGGACGAGCCCUCUCUGGCCAGGGAGACUCGGUUUUGACGGGUCUGGCCCGACAAGGUUAAAAGCUUAAAACCCUCUGGGUGGUCGUCGGACAAUGUUAUCUCCCAGAUAUACUGGGUAGGUGACGAGCGGAUAGGAAUCAAGAGACGAGCGUUGUCCAGUGCGAUGUGGGAACUGUCUGUUCUUCUUCUUCUUCCUCGUUCCUCUUCUUCCUUCCUUUUUCUUCUUCAAACUCUCGAUGAUCAGGUGAACCUUUUAGAAGGAGUGGGUUUGAAGAAGUAAUCACGAACCUCCAACUUGAACCUCGAACAGUUUCUCUUCUAGAAGUAGGGAACCUCGAGGGUAACCUCGUAGAUUCUUGCACAAGAUCGACGUUAAUUAAGGAGAUCUGAAAGCCUUAACUUCCAAGCAUCGUGGUUAAAACGUUGGGUUGUUGAGGUUGACGUGGGGCUAAUUAGAUGCCCGUACACAGUAGAUCCCGAUAACCCGGCUUUAAUCAACCAAAUCUUGUAAGGAACCUGUCAAUUUAACAAGCUUUGUGAUGUCAAUAUCUAGAGAAAACCUCGAAACCUUUUUUAUUUUAUGGAACUCUACUCAAAAUCGGGAGAUCAGAGUAAUCAAUUACUCCAAUUAGAACAUCAAUUCCGUUAUCAUUACGGGCACAUCGUUAUGCGAGUUAUGAAAAUCCCAUGAUUCUAUCGAGCACCUGUUUAGGCAAGCCAGUUAGCUUCCUCGUGCGUUUUUAAGCCUCCCUAAUAGGCUCGUUUUUUUACUCUUUAAUAGUAAUUUACUACUUAAUUCCUAGUAAUUAAUUUUUUCGUACGUCUACGAACAAUCUACCUGAAUAACACUUAAAAUCUUACGAAUUUUACGGUUACAACGUAUAUCAUUUUAAAACCCGGAGAUACAUCAUCUGUCUUACUUACACACUAUAUUUUAAGAUCAACUGUGUCUUUGAUUCUAGGUAUACAUAAGCUUUGUACUUUGGAACGAAAUUACGUAACAUCGACUAUUAACGGUUAACAGUGUAAUCCCUAGGUUGAGUUUGGUGCCGGAUCUCUCCGAACUGCUUAAUCUGAUAUUGUCUCUAACUCGGUGUCCUGUAUUUCUCCUUCACCCGGGUUCGAUUUGAUUUGGUUCGAUCGUUUAGGAAAAUUAAUGUUAUGCCUUGUACUUAGGCCGUAUUAAUGGUACAGCUACGAGUUCACAGUAUUUCUACCGUGAUUCGUUCACACACGCAACCUCGCAGUGAAACUGUGAAACCUGAUCUAGGAACCGUGCGCUGCACUGGCACGGUACACUCUCCGUACUCUCAUGUCAUGAACUCUGCCACUUUCACGAGCGAUCGGUAAACUCUAGUAAGCGUGUACGACCGCUCCCAGCGAGGAAUGUUCGGCGGUGAGGCCUCAAUACACGACGUAGUUUGUUGAAUAGAAGCGAGCACGCUAUAACUCUUCGGAUGCCGCACGUUUACCCUGUCUUUGUUUGGUUCUCAUGUCUACAACCCGAUGGUGUCUUUAAAGAAUCUGCCGUGUAUCGACCUGAUGGAAACCAUCCAGGAAUUACCCUUGUACUUUUAGCUGUGCCCCACUCAAACCAACUCUUAGUGAUGAUUUAUCUCUCCUCGUCGACCUAAUGACAAAGUGGCGGUGAAGACGACGAUGAUGUCGAAUAAACCUGACCACCCAUGUGUAUGUCUCGUACAACAUUCGAUCUUACUGUAACGAAUGAACGUGAGUAUAUUUGUUACAACGUUACUAUUUCUUAUUAGGAGUAUUAAAGUAAUUCGUUUGGUACUGUAAUCAAUAGCGAUUCAUCUCUAGUCUAGGCAACGUACUGUUUUAUUAACACGUAAUGUAUUUACGGUACAAUUUUAACGAUUCAUUAUAAAAUCGAUUAAACGUUGAAUAGGAUAUUAUUUACUUUUAAUGAGCAAUAUCGAUAACGAAAACUGUAUUAAGUGCUUCAUUUUGUUAAAUAAAUUUUAACUUCUCUUUUAAAACAUCCAGAAUAUUUAAUCAAAAUAUUGGCAGUAGAGAUAAUCAAGCCAGUUUAAUUGGGGAGUUAGAAUAGUUCAAUCCGAAGUAGAGGCCUCUUCGGUCUCCCUCGUACGUCAGCUCCUACGAUUUUCCGGGUUUGGAUUGGGUUUUUUAAAUUUGACAGACAAUCCUUAACCAAUCCAGAGAUCACAUAAAGAUCAACUUAAUCCUAUUUAUAAAAUUAAAUCAAUUUAAACACCAAAUGAGGAUUAACUUAAUCUUCUUUGUAAAAUUAAGUAAUUUCUAUUUAAUUAAAUUUAAAUUUAUAAUCGAUCUCAUUAUAAGGAUUAAUAUAAUCUAAAUCUAUAUAGUAAUAAAUGCGUAAUAUAUAUACUGUGAUUCCUCAUCGAGCUCAAGACUUUGUUCUUUCGGAACCUGCAGUCAUGGCUCAACCUCUCUCUCGCAAAUAUCUUUUAUUCUAGAUCUUCACACACUCUCUAAGCCCAAAUUAAGAAAAGAUUAAAUCACCUAGAACAAAAUAGAUAUAUAAAAAAACUAAAAGAGAGAAAACAUUAACAUAGUCGAUAAAUACUCAAAUACAAUUUUUAAGCUAAACUGUAAAAAUAACGCUUUAAAAUUAUGACCAUAGCCUAAAUCUCAUCAUCCACAAUCUCGCCUAACGUUUAAAUUCUUCUCGUGAAAAUAUCAUUUUUAAGUUAAAGUGCGGAAGCAACGCUUUAGGGGUGCGGUCAUGGCAUAAGUGACGUCAACUAUAGUUUCGUCUAACGUAUAAGUUCUGAUCGUCAUCUAAGAUUUGUGACAAUUUAUCUCUACAACAGAUACAGUAUAUGUUCGAUUAUAUAAGAUAAAUUAAACCUAUACGUGCUAUUACCCCUGAUGAAACUUAUUUUAGGAUCUCUAGAGACGUCUAUCUAACUCCGAGCAAUUUACAUAUCGAAUACUAAACAUACAUUAGUAAGCAUAACGUUAAAUAAUAAGAAAUUUAAAAUCACCACGUCAAAAAUAGGCUAGUCAUUCUAAAUGAUUUGGUAAUGAUUAAAGAUUCUUUAGGGUAUCAAAGAUAUAAACAUCUUAGCUUGAUAUAGAUAUAUAAACACAUCUCUAUUCAAUUGAGAUGUUGGUUUUCCUAACGUUAGAAGUACUAAAGAUUUGGGAUUUGGGAUUCAGGAUUAUUCUUUUAUUUAUUUGUUCUUUUAACUUUUAAAAGAACCUUUGGUUUUGGGGAUUGUAUAACAAUUUAAUUUCUAAACUUUCUUUUUUUUUUGUGAGUUUAAGGAGGUUAAUGCUUCAAUCUUGGUCAUUUCACUGGUUUAAUCUCGUUGUUUCUCUAGUUUGCUUAUCUCAAGUCUCAUUUUCUUGCAUGGGUACCUGCUAAGAGAUCUUAGGCUUCUGUACCGCGAGGUGGGUGCGCCGCUGCUUCUCCCUCGCACAUUGCGGGGCCCCGGAUAAUAUUUUCAGAAAAAUUUAGCUAUGGUUAAAACUUUAGUCUCAAUGUCUUUUGCACGGUAAAAAAAAAAAUAAAAAAUUGGACCGGGUGCACUGCAUGUCUGGGCGGUAUUUAUGUUUCAAAGAGACAGGUGAGCCUGUCUCAGAUGAAACAUAAACGUGCCGUAUGGUUGCUAUGUAGUCCUAGAGUUGGUGUUGAAUGUAAAUGGUUAGUUGUUGGUUAAAUACGCUAUGUAAACGUAUGUCGAUCGCUAGGAAUCUUUACCACGUACAGAGAUUUGUGAGGAAUCCUUGUGAGGAAUCCAUGACCUACUACGUUACGUGUUAUGUUGUUCGUAGUAUAGAUUCUCACGAGGGGUGGACCUUAAAAGCCUUCGAAAUAAAAAUUUGAGAUUAAGUUAGUAAGUGUUUGGUAAGCUUUUGGAAAAUUUUAACAAAAGGUGAGCUUUUGAGAUAAAACUUUUGGCUGAUGCAGCUCCCCAUCUUUUGGUGCUACGUAUUUAGGUAUUUAUGUUCUUGAUAUAUAGAUAUUUUGGUUUAGGUGCCUAGGUGUUUAGAGAU